This 547-nucleotide ribosomal RNA is filed under the name uncultured bacterium. RNAcentral's name for it is "partial 16S ribosomal RNA". It matches the Rfam family "Bacterial small subunit ribosomal RNA", at positions 355 to 895 of the family's 1533-position model. The record is from RNAcentral.
UGGGGAAUUUUGGACAAUGGGGGCAACCCUGAUCUAGCAAUGCCGCGUGUGUGAAGAAGGCCUUCGGGUUGUAAAGCACUUUUGUCCGGAAAGAAAUCCUUGGCUCUAAUACAGUCGGGGGAUGACGGUACCGGAAGAAUAAGCACCGGCUAACUACGUGCCAGCAGCCGCGGUAAUACGUAGGGUGCAAGCGUUAAUCGGAAUUACUGGGCGUAAAGCGUGCGCAGGCGGUUUGCUAAGACCGAUGUGAAAUCCCCGGGCUCAACCUGGGAACUGCAUUGGUGACUGGCAGGCUAGAGUAUGGCAGAGGGGGGUAGAAUUCCACGUGUAGCAGUGAAAUGCGUAGAGAUGUGGAGGAAUACCGAUGGCGAAGGCAGCCCCCUGGGCCAAUACUGACGCUCAUGCACGAAAGCGUGGGGAGCAAACAGGAUUAGAUACCCUGGUAGUCCACGCCCUAAACGAUGUCAACUAGUUGUUGGGGAUUCAUUUCCUUAGUAACGUAGCUAACGCGUGAAGUUGACCGCCUGGGGAGUACGGUCGCAAGAUU